AUCAAGUUCUUUAGUUAAUGUCAAACUCGAUAACAAUGAAGCCCAAGUGUAUGUAAAUUCAGUCUAUGAAAAAGAAACCAGUUCAAGCAAAACAGUCCCAACUGGCAUAAACCAAAAAAUACCACAUGAGCAUUGUAGUUAUAAUAAACAUAAUAAUAAUAAUAAUAAUAAUAAUACAAAUGAAAUAUCUAAUCCUAAUGACGUAAUAUACCCUUGUUUACAAAAAUUAAUUAACUAUUUAUUUAGUGAAGAUAAAAAUAUAAUUUAUGUUACUAUACAAUUGUGUAGGCAUAUUUUUGAGAACACCGACUUUUAUAAUUUUGUUUUUAUUAAAUAUAAUUUUAUAGAUAAUUUUUCGACUACUAUAUUUCAAAAUUUUAAUCAAAGCGAUUUAACGAUAAGAAAAAAGUUUUUGACAGUAUUAUAUUAUUUAAUUAAUAAAAAAAACUUUCAAAAUAUUACACAUAAUAUAGUAAUAUAUUUAUAUAAUAAUAAGGAGCGUGAGUUUUUUGAUGACUAUAUAAAUGUAAUAUUAAAUUAUGGUACUAAUAAUAUUUGUACUUUACAUAAUGUUGUAAAUUUUUAUAUUUUUAUUUUAUUUUUUAUUUUAUGUUUUAUAAAAAAUAAUAAUCAAGAACUGAGUAUAUUAAAUAAAAUUAUGGAGAUAAGUAAAGAGGCUAAAAAAACACACAUAACGAUUAAUUUUUUAAGUUCCAUUUUUAUUAUUACUUAUGGUAUAAAUAUGGUAAAAACGGGGUCCUUAGAAAAGCAGCCGUUAGGUUUGAUUACAUCUGGUAGCACCUUGUGGGAUGACGAUAUCCUUUACACUCUUCCCUUGGAUGGUACUACCAGUGCAAGUGCAAAAGCAAGUGUAGGUGGCAGCGCAGGUGGCAGCGCAGGUGUCAGCGUAGGUGUCAGCGCAAGGACCAACUAUACCAAGUUCUACGGAGAUAACUACCAACACCUGAUAGAAAACGAAAUUAUAAAUUUUAAAAAAAAAUUAAAAAGAAAUGAUGAACUAAUAAAAUACAAUAUAUUUACCUAUAUUGUUGAUAUAUUAAAUUUAUAUGAUUUGAUUAACUAUAAUAGAAUAGGACCACUCCCUAAAAAUGC
RNAcentral lists this long non-coding RNA (1113 nucleotides) under Piliocolobus tephrosceles (Ugandan red Colobus). RNAcentral describes it as "lncRNA (ENSPTEG00000004271.1)". Lineage: Eukaryota; Metazoa; Chordata; Mammalia; Primates; Cercopithecidae. The record is from RNAcentral.